GAGAGUUCAAGAGUACGUGAAACUGUGUGGUGGUAAACGGAGGGGUUCUCGAAGUUUCCGUGGGGAACUCAACCUUGGUGGUCUGCAGCCUUGUCGUAUUUGAUCAGCAAUGACUUUGCGUCUUGUCCUGCUCUCCUCUCGGGUGCAUUUCCCCCGCGGUUCACGACAGGAACCGUUUGGCUUGGACCGAAGGGCUUGGGUGAAGUUGUUGGUUCUGCUGGCAGCCCCUUGUUCCUGGCUCCACGCCAGACGGGUACGGGAGAGGACUCGUAUAUCGAGCAAUGCUCUGUUGCCGUUCUCAUCUCUCUGUCGAGUAGGUCGGUGGCCCCUCCGACCCGUCUUGAAACACGGA
This 352-nucleotide ribosomal RNA is filed under the name Eucalanus hyalinus. RNAcentral describes it as "partial 28S ribosomal RNA". The record is from RNAcentral. Lineage: Eukaryota; Metazoa; Arthropoda; Copepoda; Calanoida; Eucalanidae.